UAGGAUGCGUACAUGAAAGAAAGAGAAAAUCAAGAUUCACUUUCUUGUUUUCAAGAAAAUCAAGAAACUGAAUUUUGGCCCAAUCUUGCUAUUUGGAGCUAUUUCAAGAAUCAAGAAAAUCAAGAUUUGAAAUCUUGGAAAUCUUGGUCCAAGAAACCAAAUCUUGCAGCCAAAGCGCAUUGGAUCUCUGUUAUGAGCAUCAACGAACCAAUUUCUAUAGAAGAUGGAAUACAAGCCCAAGUUCUUGAAGGCAAGGCCCAAUAAGAUGACUCCAAGCCCAAACAAGAAUACAAACCAUACUUACUUGAAAAUCAGGC
This 317-nucleotide long non-coding RNA is filed under the name Gossypium barbadense (sea-island cotton). Its description in RNAcentral is "long non-coding RNA (GBAR_LNC021625)". Lineage: Eukaryota; Viridiplantae; Streptophyta; Magnoliopsida; Malvales; Malvaceae. The record is from RNAcentral.